CAUAACAUAGCUUAGUAAAAGCAUCUCGCUUACACCGAGAAGUCAUCUGUUAAAACCAGAUUUUUAUGAG
This 70-nucleotide transfer RNA is filed under the name Gastrotheca pseustes (San Lucas marsupial frog). RNAcentral's name for it is "tRNA-Val". It matches the Rfam family "tRNA". Rfam says of the family: Transfer RNA (tRNA) molecules are approximately 80 nucleotides in length. Their secondary structure includes four short double-helical elements and three loops (D, anti-codon, and T loops). Further hydrogen bonds mediate the characteristic L-shaped molecular structure. tRNAs have two regions of fundamental functional importance: the anti-codon, which is responsible for specific mRNA codon recognition, and the 3' end, to which the tRNAs corresponding amino acid is attached (by aminoacyl-tRNA synthetases). tRNAs cope with the degeneracy of the genetic code in two manners: having more than one tRNA (with a specific anti-codon) for a particular amino acid; and 'wobble' base-pairing, i.e. permitting non-standard base-pairing at the 3rd anti-codon position. Lineage: Eukaryota; Metazoa; Chordata; Amphibia; Anura; Hemiphractidae. The record is from RNAcentral.